This 492-nucleotide ribosomal RNA is filed under the name uncultured bacterium. RNAcentral's name for it is "partial 16S ribosomal RNA". It matches the Rfam family "Bacterial small subunit ribosomal RNA", at positions 29 to 507 of the family's 1533-position model. The record is from RNAcentral.
AGUGAACGCUGGCGGUAGGCCUAACACAUGCAAGUCGAACGGCAGCACGGUAAGAGCUUGCUCUUACGGGUGGCGAGUGGCGGACGGGUGAGGAAUACAUCGGAAUCUACUUUUUCGUGGGGGAUAACGUAGGGAAACUUACGCUAAUACCGCAUACGACCUACGGGUGAAAGCAGGGGAUCUUCGGACCUUGCGCGAUUGAAUGAGCCGAUGUCGGAUUAGCUAGUUGGCGGGGGAAAGGCCCACCAAGGCGACGAUCCGUAGCUGGUCUGAGAGGACGAUCAGCCACACUGGAACUGAGACACGGUCCAGACUCCUACGGGAGGCAGCAGUGGGGAAUAUUGGACAAUGGGCGCAAGCCUGAUCCAGCCAUACCGCGUGGGUGAAGAAGGCCUUCGGGUUGUAAAGCCCUUUUGUUGGGAAAGAAAAGCAGCAGGUUAAUACCCCGCUGUUCUGACGGUACCCAAAGAAUAAGCACCGGCUAACUUCGUG